UCCGGUUUGUCACCGGCAGUCUCAUUAGAGUGCCCAACUAAAUGUAGCAACUAAUGACAAGGGUUGCGCUCGUUGCGGGACUUAACCCAACAUCUCACGACACGAGCUGACGACAGCCAUGCAGCACCUGUGUCUAGGUUCCCUUUCGGGCACACUCACAUCUCUACGGCUUCACCCCGCAUGUCAAGCCCUGGUAAGGUUCUUCGCGUUGCGUCGAAUUAAGCCACAUGCUCCGCUGCUUGUGCGGGUCCCCGUCAAUUCCUUUGAGUUUUAGCCUUGCGGCCGUACUCCCCAGGCGGGGUGCUUAAUGCGUUAGCUGCGGCACGGAGGGAGUCGACACCCCCCACACCUAGCACCCAUCGUUUACGGCGUGGACUAC
This 379-nucleotide unclassified non-coding RNA is filed under the name uncultured bacterium. RNAcentral describes it as "contains 16S-23S intergenic spacer region". The record is from RNAcentral.